This 63-nucleotide transfer RNA is filed under the name Docophoroides brevis. RNAcentral describes it as "tRNA-Asn". The record is from RNAcentral. Lineage: Eukaryota; Metazoa; Arthropoda; Insecta; Psocodea; Philopteridae.
UUAGUUAAAGCCAAAUUAGAGGCUUAUUAUUGUUAAUAAUAGAAUUGACUAUGUCUAACUAUC